RNAcentral lists this ribosomal RNA (301 nucleotides) under uncultured bacterium. RNAcentral's name for it is "partial 16S ribosomal RNA". It matches the Rfam family "Bacterial small subunit ribosomal RNA", at positions 509 to 807 of the family's 1533-position model. The record is from RNAcentral.
CAGUCGCCGCGGGAAUACGAAGGGGGCUAGCGUUGUUCGGAUUUACUGGGCGUAAAGGGCGCGUAGGUGGACUGAUAAGUCAGGGGUGAAAUCCCAAGGCUCAACCUUGGAACUGCCUUUGAUACUGUUUGUCUUGAGCUCGAGAGAGGUAAGUGGAACUGCGAGUGUAGAGGUGAAAUUCGUAGAUAUUCGCAAGAACACCGAUGGCGAAGGCAGCCCCCUGGGCCAAUACUGACGCUCAUGCACGAAAGCGUGGGGAGCAAACAGGAUUAGAGACCCCUGUAGUCCCUGUCUCUUAUAC